Molecule: non-coding RNA, 1233 nt
Organism: Zootermopsis nevadensis
Lineage: Eukaryota; Metazoa; Arthropoda; Insecta; Blattodea; Termopsidae
Source: RefSeq, a predicted model, not a curated record
AUACCUGCCAAGACAACAUCUGCCGAGUCAGUCCCUGUCAAUUCAACACUGUCCAAUCCAAUACCUGCCGAUUCAACAUGUGCUCAGUCAACAUCUGAUGAGUCAACAAUUGCACAUUCAACAGCUGCUGAUUCAGAAUGUACUCAGUCAACCACCAAUGCUGAGUAAAUACCUGCCAAUCCAAUAUCUGCUCAGUCAAGAAUCGUGGAUUCAACAGCUGCUGAAUGUAGCAAUGUCUCUACAGUAAGGUGCACUAUGGUGAAUGAGAGUUCAGACCAGGCAAAUUUAGGACUGAGAGACUAGAUUCUUGACAACUAUUUAAUUCACAGAUAUAGUGGGUUUGCUGGUAUCAGCAUCAUGGAAGAAGUUUUGGACACCUUGGUCCUAAUGGUUACUUUUAUGUCAGAUGGUUAAAGUUUUUAUAACCCCAACCCAUCUAUGGGAAUGGAUGACAUUUCUGACACUCUUGUGUUUAGUAGUGCAUGGACGAGUGCCUGGAUGUUGGUCUCGACUUCUGGAGUGGAGCGACCCAGACCUGAGGUCAGACAGUGUCAUGCUGGGCCUAUAGCAAGGACUGACAGUAGUACCUCCAUACAUUGUGCUACCAUUUUGACAUUCUUGGAGUAGGGUCUGGAUCAUUGAGAUGGUUGCCUGAUGUAUGCUGGUACUGCUGAUGGCUUUCUGGUACCUGGGUGUACCCAUUUUCUGGUUUUACUUCUGCUCUACUGGGGUUGUAAACUUUAUACAAUUUUAUAAACAAUGAUGUAUUUAUAGGAUACUUUCGUAAUGAGUACAAUCAAUAAAAUCUUCUCGGGCAAUCAGCCGCGUUAACUGGUUACCGUAGUAAACAGACGUUUCUGAUGUGACUGGAUACCUCGGAAGUCGCCUGUGUAACUACCUACUCGAGACCAGUGCACAUGUCCGGACCCAGGCCCAAGGAGCUAGGGGGCGGAGUCAAACGCUCGGUUUGUCUGGCUCUGCCUUCUACCUGGUGUUUCCCCAGAGCAUGUUUGUCAUCGGAUACCAUGCUCUGCUCAAGGUGAAACCUCCAUCCCUAUUAAAGUUGUCGGGAUGCAGCCGGAUCAGGCUGCAUCCCGACAACUUGGGGACAGAGUUGGUUCCCGAAACGUCGGUUUACUACGGUAACCAGUUAACGCGGCUGAUUGCCCGAUAAGAUUUUAUUGAAUGAUGUAUUUUAUUUGUUUUAUAGAGAAUAUAUCAAUGCAACAAGUU